CGCGAAUCCGUCGAAGGUCGUCACGACAGCCAACGGAGUUUGGAUUCUUAUUUGGCUGGACGCUGCGUCGGUCUCGCGGCUCUUCAUUCCGCAUAACCAAUAAAAUUUCGCUGGCAACACCACCGUGAAAUUUCAAAAACUUCAUACCCCCCUUCCCCAUUCCGACAUCUCGUUGACGCACUUUAGUACAGUACACAACAACAGUACAGUCUUUUUGAACCGUAUUUGGAUACGAGGAAUGCGACUCGUAAUAAAGGAACUGUUGUACCGAACUUCUGAGGCGAUAAAUAUUAGACUUUGCAAUUAGGUUCGAACCAACUUACAGUAUAAUUGAUCCCAUCACUAACGGCAUCACUCAACAACGAUGAUCUAAAUUAAUCUCCACUAAUAAAUCGAGCUGACAAGCCUCUGAUUACGAAGCUGCGAACGAACUGAUGCAUUCCUCUCAAGAAAAUGGUCGAUUGGUCCACGGAAAGCGGCUCUUUUACACAGCCCCGAGUCCAAUUGGCCGGAACGAAUUGAACUUGUGCCAGGGUCGCGUUGAGGUGAAUAAAAAGAAGACGAGGAAACCAAAGACGCCUGGUGCGCGGCAGAAUACCCGAGGGCGUUUUCUUUCACUUUCUUUUCGUUCCUCGAACCCACAGCACCCGCAAUAUUCUCGAAUUCCGCGACGCUCACGCGCUCCCACCUUAUUCCAAGUUUUCAUCUUGGUUUAUGUCGGCACGUGGCAUUGGUAUCGCGGCAGCCGCGUAUUAAUUAAAUUCGGAACGCGACAUCGCGGCGUAGUAUUUCGAAUAUCUUGUACACCAGUGUCUUGAGCCGGGAACUCAUGGCUUUCCUUCUAAUUCACAAAUCCGUUCCACCUACGUACCUCACUUCACUGUCGUAAUACAAUAAAGUUUCCCCUAUCGGAACUAUAUAACAGGAAGACGAAAAUGUUCAGAUAAUAGAACACCCACCUUCUUGAUAUUACAUUUCAUUUAUUCAUGUAAAGAACAAGAAACUUGCCCGCUUUCUUUAUUAUCUAGAGAUAUCAUAUUUUUUAGCCGUUGAACUACAUAAAUUUUCGUGAUGAGAAGAUACAUUCUCAUUAUUUUCACUUAGGUCCCGUUCAGAGAGCGACUUUUUGACGCUGCGUUCACGCUGCGUCAUAUAUUUGUCAUUGUCGGUUCUAACUGGGGAAACAAAGAAAGACAUAUGACACAGGGAUAACGCAGAGUCAAAAACUCGCUCGUUUACACCAGCCCUUAAUGUUUAUGUUCUAAUACACGUAGUAAUACAUAUAAUAAUACUAUUUGUAACAGAAAAAAGUACUUGUUUCUUCAGUACAGUGUUCACACAUUAGGGUAUUUGACAAUGGAGAAUGAUAGAAGUAAAGAGUUAGUAAAAUUAA
Molecule: long non-coding RNA, 1393 nt
Organism: Bombus terrestris (buff-tailed bumblebee)
Lineage: Eukaryota; Metazoa; Arthropoda; Insecta; Hymenoptera; Apidae
Exons: 3
Source: RefSeq, a predicted model, not a curated record